Malus domestica (apple) is the source of this 200-nucleotide non-coding RNA. The record is from RefSeq and is marked provisional. NCBI's taxonomy places the organism in Eukaryota, Viridiplantae, Streptophyta, Magnoliopsida, Rosales, Rosaceae.
GCAGGAAGCUGGAGGCCUUACAUGAAGAAAAGAGCGUUGUUUGGUAGCCAAGGAUGACUUGCCCGCCUCCGAUUUCAUGAAAGAAUAUAUGGCAUUAUUUAAUUGUCUGUCUAAAAUUUAUAUUCAUGUUUGGAAUCCAGGCAGUCUCCUUGGCUAAUCUCACAGGCUCUUUUCUUUCAUGCUAGGCCCUCCUCUUCUUC